GAGAGAGGCUUAGCCAGCACCAGGGACUGCUAAUCCUUGACCCCUCGGUUGAAUCCCGGGCUCACUCG
Molecule: transfer RNA, 68 nt
Filed under: Sillaginopsis panijus (flathead sillago)
Lineage: Eukaryota; Metazoa; Chordata; Actinopteri; Sillaginidae
Description: tRNA-Ser(AGY)
Source: RNAcentral